Molecule: long non-coding RNA, 438 nt
Organism: Callithrix jacchus (white-tufted-ear marmoset)
Lineage: Eukaryota; Metazoa; Chordata; Mammalia; Primates; Cebidae
Source: RefSeq, a predicted model, not a curated record
AGACUGCAAGCCCCUCGGGUGCAGCAGUGGGAUCUCCUCCACAUGGGUUUCCCAAGGGUGUGUGACGCUGGGCUAUAGGAAUGUUUAUGCCCCGGAACUGCCACUUUGGAAGCAGAUGGAGUCUCUGUGGCCCAGGCCGGACUGCAGUGGCACGAUCCCAGCUCACUGCAACCUCCACCUCCCGUGUUCAAGUGAUUCCCCUGCCUCAGCCUCCCGAGUAGCUUAGACUACAUGCUUGAGCCACCACAACCAGAUGCCUGGCCAUCUUCCAGCCAGGCAGAGGGGCUUCGCCAGACACAGAUCUCUGCCUUCCCAUCCCCCAGAACUGCAGGAAAGGAAGAUCUGUCAGCCCACACUGAGCAAGAUAGUGCUAUUCACAGAAAAGGACCUUCCAUAAGAAGACACAAGGAGGACAAGGCUACAGGGGGAAUUCACCAG